This 208-nucleotide ribosomal RNA is filed under the name uncultured bacterium. RNAcentral's name for it is "partial 16S ribosomal RNA". It matches the Rfam family "Bacterial small subunit ribosomal RNA", at positions 568 to 775 of the family's 1533-position model. The record is from RNAcentral.
CGUGUAGGCGGUCCGCUAAGUCUGAUGUGAAAGCCCGGGGCUCACCCCCGGAAGGGCAUUGGAAACUGGCGGACUCGAGUCCCGGAGAGGAGGGUGGAAUUCCUGGUGUAGCGGUGAAAUGCGUAGAUAUCAGGAGGAACACCGGUGGCGAAGGCGGCCCUCUGGACGGUGACUGACGCUGAGACGCGAAAGCGUGGGGAGCAAAACA